GACGUAGGGGGCGAGCGUUGUCCGGAUUUAUUGGGCGUAAAGCGUGCGUAGGCGGCUGCGCAAGUCGGUUGUGAAACCCCGGGGCUCAACCCCGGAACUGCAUCCGAUACUGCGUGGCUAGAGGUAGGUAGGGGAGAUCGGAAUUCCUGGUGUAGCGGUGAAAUGCGCAGAUAUCAGGAGGAACACCGGUGGCGAAGGCGGUUCUCUGGGCAUGUCCUGACGCUGAGGAGCGAAAGUGUGGGGAGCGAACAGG
This 253-nucleotide ribosomal RNA is filed under the name uncultured bacterium. RNAcentral's name for it is "partial 16S ribosomal RNA". It matches the Rfam family "Bacterial small subunit ribosomal RNA", at positions 524 to 776 of the family's 1533-position model. The record is from RNAcentral.